AUUAGACAAAUCAUUUUUCUACUUAGUACAUCUUGUGUUCUUGAGCGUGCAUCACCGAGAAACCAGCGAAUUUAGUGAAUUUUUUGGCCCAAAAUAAUAUUCAACGGUGUAAUGGAGUUGAUGGGAGGAUGUGGAGUGAGGAAUUUGUGGCAGUGAAUGAGAGUGAUUCACAGAAACUGACCAGCUUUUACCCCACAAACCCCAAGGAGAAAUAAAAUCUCCGAAAUAUUGUGAUAGAGUGGAACUCAUUGGUCUUUUCCAGCGAAGUUAGUGUGAUGAGUGUUUAAAAAAUAUUGUUAAUUUAAAGUGAGCUGAACUUCAAUUUGUCUAAUAUUUUCUGCGGCGUUCUUGGAUUGCUUAACUAGGAUCUUCUCGUCUACCACUUCUCCUAUUUUCAGCAUCUUCAGAUCUCUCAAAGCGUCCGUUGAAUGGCCAAAGUCGUUAAACGCCUUCGUUCCAUCCUUUCCAGCCCACUCCAAGAUGAGAUCAUCGCCGCCCGGAUGCUAAAAUCGAGAUCAAUCAUUAAAUGUUCUCCUUUACUUCCGAGGAAUAAAACACCAACAUCCUGAAGAUAA
Molecule: long non-coding RNA, 575 nt
Organism: Phlebotomus argentipes
Lineage: Eukaryota; Metazoa; Arthropoda; Insecta; Diptera; Psychodidae
Exons: 2
Source: RefSeq, a predicted model, not a curated record